CCUACGGGGGGCUGCAGUGGGGAAUAUUGGACAAUGGGGGGAACCCUGAUCCAGCCAUGCCGCGUGUGUGAAGAAGGCCCUCGGGUUGUAAAGCACUUUCAGUGAGGAAGAACGCCUGGUGGUUAAUACCCAUCAGGAAAGACAUCACUCUCAGAAGAAGCACCGGCUAACUCCGUGCCAGCAGCCGCGGUAAUACGGAGGGUGCGAGCGUUAAUCGGAAUUACUGGGCGUAAAGCGCGCGUAGGUGGCUUGAUAAGCCGGUUGUGAAAGCCCCGGGCUCAACCUGGGAACGGCAUCCGGAACUGUCAAGCUAGAGUGCAGGAGAGGAAGGUAGAAUUCCCGGUGUAGCGGUGAAAUGCGUAGAGAUCGGGAGGAAUACCAGUGGCGAAGGCGGCCUUCUGGACUGACACUGACACUGAGGUGCGAAAGCGUGGGUAGCAAACAGGAUUAGAUACCCGGGUAGUC
RNAcentral lists this ribosomal RNA (465 nucleotides) under Vreelandella stevensii. RNAcentral's name for it is "partial 16S ribosomal RNA". It matches the Rfam family "Bacterial small subunit ribosomal RNA", at positions 338 to 795 of the family's 1533-position model. The record is from RNAcentral. Lineage: Bacteria; Pseudomonadati; Pseudomonadota; Gammaproteobacteria; Oceanospirillales; Halomonadaceae.